This is a long non-coding RNA of Podarcis muralis (Common wall lizard), 999 nucleotides long. RefSeq lists it as uncharacterized. Lineage: Eukaryota; Metazoa; Chordata; Lepidosauria; Squamata; Lacertidae. The record is from RefSeq and is a predicted model, not a curated record.
AGGAGAGGGUGGGCAGAUGAAAACUUACUGGUUGCAUUAAAAGAGGGGAAGGGGGGGCAGAGAAUGGGCUCAUCAGCAUGGCAGCCCCUCCCAUGUGCCCCUCUAUAAAAAGCGGGGGUUCUCCGGCUGCGUUUCAAGAGCUCUGAACUGCAAAAGAUGCCUUGAGAGAGAGAGAGAGAGACGCAGAAAGCUGGAGGGGCCGGCCAGAUGGAGAUGUCAGUCGCCAGCCUGGUAUCCGGAAAUCUACGCAUGGUUACAGUCGGACCUGGAGUUGCAAAACACACCUGGUGCUUGGGGAAAUUGUAACGCUGUGAAUAUGAGACCCUACUGAGGAGGAGGAGGAGGAGGAGGAGGAGGAAGAGAGGCAAGUCGGUGCUGAGGACCUACCCACAGCUGAAAUUCCUCAAGGCUGUGAGAAGGACACGGCGAGAGGCACUGUGGGGUGAGCGAAAGAGUUGGCCAAGGUGCCCAUUCUGGCACAACCCUGCUCUCUUUGAAUGCCAAGAAGUAGGUGUUCUUGCAGUGAUGGAAGGAGCAACACAGAAGCCAGCGAGAUCUGUCCAUGGUGCUGAAACUGCUCCUGCUCUUUUCUGCUCUCUGGCUCCCCCUGGGGGCAAGGGUCCUGAAUGCUGCAUGGAUCUGGAGAGGGUAUUAUUUAUCGCUUGUCCUUCCUCUGACCAACUUGUGUUUGAGAUUAACGUCUAGCUAGCUAGAGUUUAAAAUUACCCUUUGCAGCAUAAAAUGUGGAAACGCUCUGGGACCAAAUUGCUUAACCUUAUUCAUAUUUAUCCAGGAUGCUUUCGCAGACUGGAUCUUCCUCUUUUUUAAAAAAAAAAAUCCCUCUAAACAAGAUAAUCGCACAGAAGCCUGCAAUGCAGGAAUGAAAAUAUUGUUUAUCUGCAUAAAGCUUCAGACUUGUUGCAGCAGUGAAAAACAAGACAGGCAGAAUAUAUUACAAAACAUGCGGUUGAGAUAAAAAAAAAAUGGAGUCUGUGCUCA